RNAcentral lists this non-coding RNA (99 nucleotides) under Brevibacterium senegalense. Its description in RNAcentral is "ALIL pseudoknot". It matches the Rfam family "ALIL pseudoknot", at positions 2 to 103 of the family's 117-position model. The record is from RNAcentral. Lineage: Bacteria; Bacillati; Actinomycetota; Actinomycetes; Micrococcales; Brevibacteriaceae.
GCUUUCUUCGCGGCGGAGCUCGACCGCCCCUCGCGGUGAUGUGCGCGUUCAUCGACGCGCACAGGGAUGAGCACGGGGUCGAGCCGAUCUGCAGGGUGC